Molecule: transfer RNA, 67 nt
Filed under: Stegodyphus mimosarum
Lineage: Eukaryota; Metazoa; Arthropoda; Arachnida; Araneae; Eresidae
Rfam family: tRNA
About the family: Transfer RNA (tRNA) molecules are approximately 80 nucleotides in length. Their secondary structure includes four short double-helical elements and three loops (D, anti-codon, and T loops).
Source: Rfam by way of RNAcentral
GCCUUUGUGGUGUAGUGGUCAACACACUCGGCUCGUAUUCGAGAGGUCCGUGGUCCUGGCGAGAGCA